CCUACGGGGGGCAGCAGUGAGGAAUAUUGGUCAAUGGACGAGAGUCUGAACCAGCCAAGUAGCGUGAAGGAUGACUGCCCUAUGGGUUGUAAACUUCUUUUAUAAAGGAAUAAAACGAGGCACGUGUGCCUUUUUGCAUGUACUUUAUGAAUAAGGACCGGCUAAUUCCGUGCCAGCAGCCGCGGUAAUACGGAGGAUCCGAGCGUUAUCCGGAUUUAUUGGGUUUAAAGGGAGCGUAGAUGGGUUGUUAAGUCAGUUGUGAAAGUUUGCGGCUCAACCGUAAAAUUGCAAUUGAUACUGGCAGCCUUGAGUACGGUUGAGGUAGGCGGAAUUCGUGGUGUAGCGGUGAAAUGAUUAGAUAUCACGAAGAACUCCGAUUGCGAAGGCAGCCUACGAAACUGCCACUGACAUUGAUGCUCGAAGGUGUGGGUAUCAAACAGGAUUAGAUACCCCAGUAGUC
RNAcentral lists this ribosomal RNA (460 nucleotides) under uncultured bacterium. Its description in RNAcentral is "partial 16S ribosomal RNA". It matches the Rfam family "Bacterial small subunit ribosomal RNA", at positions 338 to 795 of the family's 1533-position model. The record is from RNAcentral.